GACGAACGCUGGCGGCGUGCUUAACACAUGCAAGUCGAACGGAAAGGCCCUGCUUUUGUGGGGUGCUCGAGUGGCGAACGGGUGAGUAACACGUGAGUAACCUGCCCUUGACUUUGGGAUAACUUCAGGAAACUGGGGCUAAUACCGGAUAGGAGCUCCUGCUGCAUGGUGGGGGUUGGAAAGUUUCGGCGGUUGGGGAUGGACUCGCGGCUUAUCAGCUUGUUGGUGGGGUAGUGGCUUACCAAGGCUUUGACGGGUAGCCGGCCUGAGAGGGCGACCGGCCUCAUUGGGACUGAGGUACGGCCCAGACUGCUACGGGAGGCAGCAGUGGGGAAUAUUGCACAGUGGGCGGAAGCCUGAUGCGACAACGCCGCGUGCGGGAUGACGGCCUUCGGGUUGUAAACCGCUUUCGCCUGUGACGAAGCGUGAGUGACGGUAAUGAGUAAAGAAGCACCGGCUAACUACGUG
Molecule: ribosomal RNA, 468 nt
Filed under: uncultured bacterium
Lineage: Bacteria
Description: partial 16S ribosomal RNA
Rfam family: Bacterial small subunit ribosomal RNA
Source: RNAcentral